Molecule: ribosomal RNA, 531 nt
Filed under: uncultured bacterium
Lineage: Bacteria
Description: partial 16S ribosomal RNA
Rfam family: Bacterial small subunit ribosomal RNA
Source: RNAcentral
UGGGGAAUAUUGGACAAUGGGCGCAAGCCUGAUCCAGCCAUGCCGCGUGAGUGAUGAAGGCCCUAGGGUUGUAAAGCUCUUUCAGCGAGGAGGAUAAUGACGUUACUCGCAGAAGAAGCCCCGGCUAACUUCGUGCCAGCAGCCGCGGUAAUACGAAGGGGGCUAGCGUUGUUCGGAAUCACUGGGCGUAAAGCGCACGUAGGCGGACUUUUAAGUCAGGGGUGAAAUCCCGGGGCUCAACCUCGGAACUGCCUUUGAUACUGGAAGUCUGGAGUCCGAGAGAGGUGAGUGGAACUCCGAGUGUAGAGGUGAAAUUCGUAGAUAUUCGGAAGAACACCAGUGGCGAAGGCGGCUCACUGGCUCGGUACUGACGCUGAGGUGCGAAAGCGUGGGGAGCAAAACAGGAUUAGAUACCCUGGUAGUCCACGCCGUAAACGAUGGAAGCUAGCCGUCAGGGUGCAUGCAUCUUGGUGGCGCAGUUAACGCAUUAAGCUUCCCGCCUGGGGAGUACGGUCGCAAGAUUAAAAACUC